CCCGCUCUGAAAUCUGCACCGUUCUCGGCUCGCUGCACGGGGCUAGGAAUGGUGCAUUCUGCGCCGGCACCGAGCCUGCGGGGAGACUCCAUUUGUGGUGGGCUCUUUAGCGCGCCUGAGAGUCACUGAGCUAGGAAGGACUUUUAACCCAUCUGUAACGCUAGUCCCGGCCUUCUGCUUCGUCUAGGGCUUGACUCAAUUUCUCUUGACUCAGUUUCUCUUCAUGGUCACAUUUGCAAGCACAGGUGGCAAACGGCACCGGAGGACUCCAUUGUCCACUGUGCAGUUCGCAGGCAGGGUUUUUUCCCCACUCCUAAUUUCUAGCAUAGCCAUGAGCCAAAGAGCCCAGCAGGUUCUGCAGGCUGAUUUAGAGCCGCGGUGCCUCCUAGCCAAGCCGAAAGGGUUUGUGAAGAUGGGACUAAUUAGAAGUUAGACUAUUGUACUGGCGCACCAGGCAGUAGCCAAGAGGGAGCGAGCUGGAGUCUGUUGCCUCCGCACAGCUAAGGUAGAAGCUUGCUUUGCGUUACCAGACACGGCCUCUUGGAUCCCCUUUGCAGAGGAGAACCACUUCACGGAGCGAGGCGCCCCGUUAAAUCAUAGUGCUCCCCCGCAUUCCCGUGGUUCAGUGUCCCCAGAAUCCUGCACCAAUCUAACAUGGCGCGUUCCCUACGGUCCCCCCUCUGCUGUGGCGGAUCCUGCAAUGUUGGCCACAGAGGUGGCUUCUGCUGAGCGUCAGGCUAAGCGUCAAUGCAAGAUCCAGCAGCCAACCCUUAUAAUAGAUGGAGAUCUACCUAUCUCAUAGAGCCGGAAGGGACCUUGAGAGGUCAGGGAGUCCAGUCCGCUGCGCUCCCAGCGGGACCGAGCACCAUCCCUGACAGAUUUGCCCCAAAUGGCCUCAAGGAUUGAGCUGUCAACCCUGGGUUUAGCAGGCUAUUGCUCAACCCCUGAGCUAUCCCUCCCCCAACUGUAGUUAUGAACAGUCCCAUGUCCCCCCACCCAUGUUACGCUGUGAGUGUGGGCUGUGCGCGGCCUAGCGUUGGCCUGCAAGUGCACGGACAAGUCGACCUGGCAACAGCAGUGUUAGGAAUGGGCUUGCGCAGGGCGUGGCGCAUGUACAAGGCAUGGUGGCAAGGUUCUUUGUUCUCCUUUGUAGGAGCAAGGAGGAAAGAAAGAAACCUGGGGUGCUGUUUGGGGGCGAACGUUAGACCUACGCGGAUCGGAGUGCAAGCCACGACGUUCUGCAUUAGAGUAGUAUUACCACCCUCUUGCCGCUAGCCGCGCAUCUGAGUGGAGUAAGACUUGAUAGUCAGCCGUUGGCUCUGUCAGCGGAGAACGAGGACUGAAUUAGCCCCCAUAAUGACCUUCAGUGGUGUCCCUCUAGGUGAUAGUUGCUUCCUCGUGGGAAAACUUGUGUUCCCGUGUCCGGUAACUCUUCUCUCGCUAGCUGGGCACCCAGCAGCCUGGUUACCUCCCUGUUUUCAGCUGUCUUGGCUCUGAGCAGCUGCCUAAACCAGCGCGCAGCUUCCUUCCUUUGCGAUUUCAAGUGUCUGCUUAUCACAGAGAGCCGUCAGUACGUUCUGAGUGCAAAGGCCGCGCCCGACCGGCUCUCCUUUUCACACUCCAUUGUUUCUGACGCCCUUCGCUUUGACAAGGCUGGUUCCGUUGACUGCACCUGCAGUUUGUCAGCCAGCACACGAGCCAACCCCCCUGUGUUACAAUCAGUGUUUGAGUGCAAGGGAUCCACUGCCGUAGAAGUUCGUUCUUCCCUAUGGCUGUGACGCCGUCCAUAGCAGAAUGGCGUUGGCAUCUAGUUCAGAGCCGUAUCCUUGCGGAGCAGAAUGAACUGUCUUCGGCGUGCCCCAAAUGGCACUUGGCUUUCAAAGUAUUUUCUUAGGCAGGGGGAGAAUCAACCUGGCUGUUCACUAAGAGGUCUAGCCUUCCCUCCCACAAACAACUCCGUUUAAACGCUGCUUCCGCUCACGAGCUGGUCUAGACGUACCCCAGGAAAGGCCUUUCCACCUCGGCCUUCAUCACGGGGAAAAAGCGAUUUACAGACUCGGAGCAGGGAGCGUGCGCCGCACGAGUAGAAUUCAGUGUUAAAGCAGCAGUAAAGCUUGUUAGAUCAAAGAGUAUGGGGCUGAGACCUGGUGUCGAAUUCAGCCCUGGGCCCCACUCCGGGUGGGGCCAGUGUAGACUAGCAGCCGAUGUGGCUUCUGUCGUUUGGGUUCGCUGGUGCUAGCCGAACAAUAGCUCGGGAAGUGCAAUGGUGAAUGUAACAUUGCGUGUGUACGUGGAUCACCCUUUGUUUAGCAGCUAGACUGUAUGUGAGCUCCCGUUUCGGGGGGGCUGGUGCUUUUGGUUUUUUGCCACGUUCUGUGUUUGGAUUUUAUUGGAAUGAACUCACCCUGAUGGUUUUCCAUCUCCCUGGUUACUGUGCAGUUGUGGCGUUGUAGAAUAGUUCUCGCCAGACAUUGGCUUCCCUCCCGCCUUC
This is a non-coding RNA of Pelodiscus sinensis (Chinese soft-shelled turtle), 2491 nucleotides long. Lineage: Eukaryota; Metazoa; Chordata; Testudines; Trionychidae. The record is from RefSeq and is a predicted model, not a curated record.